Molecule: ribosomal RNA, 241 nt
Filed under: uncultured Lactobacillus sp.
Lineage: Bacteria; Bacillati; Bacillota; Bacilli; Lactobacillales; Lactobacillaceae
Description: partial 16S ribosomal RNA
Rfam family: Bacterial small subunit ribosomal RNA
Source: RNAcentral
UAACCUGCCCAAGAGAUCGGGAUAACACCUGGAAACAGAUGCUAAUACCGGAUAACAACAGAUGAUGCCUAUCAACUGUUUAAAAGAUGGUUCUGCUAUCACUCUUGGAUGGACCUGCGGUGCAUUAGCUAGUUGGUAGGGUAACGGCCUACCAAGGCGAUGAUGCAUAGCCGAGUUGAGAGACUGAUCGGCCACAUUGGGACUGAGACACGGCCCAAACUCCUACGGGAGGCAGCAGACG